This 75-nucleotide transfer RNA is filed under the name Flavobacteriaceae bacterium. Its description in RNAcentral is "tRNA-Arg". It matches the Rfam family "tRNA". From Rfam's summary of the family: Transfer RNA (tRNA) molecules are approximately 80 nucleotides in length. Their secondary structure includes four short double-helical elements and three loops (D, anti-codon, and T loops). The record is from RNAcentral. Lineage: Bacteria; Pseudomonadati; Bacteroidota; Flavobacteriia; Flavobacteriales; Flavobacteriaceae.
AACUCCGUAGUUCAAAGGAUAGAACAAAAGUUUCCUAAACUUUAGAUACAGGUUCGAUUCCUGUCGGAGUUACAA